ACUGACCUCAAAUCGAGUAGGACUACCCGCUGAACUUAAGCAUAUCAAUAAGCGGAGGAAAAGAAACUAACAAGGAUUCCCUUAGUAACGGCAAGUGAAGUAGGA
This 105-nucleotide ribosomal RNA is filed under the name uncultured Sebacinaceae. RNAcentral describes it as "partial 28S ribosomal RNA". It matches the Rfam family "Eukaryotic large subunit ribosomal RNA", at positions 1 to 103 of the family's 3401-position model. Lineage: Eukaryota; Fungi; Basidiomycota; Agaricomycetes; Sebacinales; Sebacinaceae. The record is from RNAcentral.